This 429-nucleotide ribosomal RNA is filed under the name Actinomycetes bacterium. Its description in RNAcentral is "Actinobacteria bacterium partial 16S ribosomal RNA". It matches the Rfam family "Bacterial small subunit ribosomal RNA", at positions 355 to 776 of the family's 1533-position model. Lineage: Bacteria; Bacillati; Actinomycetota; Actinomycetes. The record is from RNAcentral.
UAGGGAAUCUUCCGCAAUGGGCGAAAGCCUGACGGAGCAACGCCGCGUGAGUGAUGAAGGUCUUCGGAUCGUAAAACUCUGUUAUUAGGGAAGAACAAAUGUGUAAGUAACUAUGCACGUCUUGACGGUACCUAAUCAGAAAGCUACGGCUAACUACGUGCCAGCAGCCGCGGUAAUACGUAGGUGGCAAGCGUUAUCCGGAAUUAUUGGGCGUAAAGCGCGCGUAGGCGGUUUUUUAAGUCUGAUGUGAAAGCCCACGGCUCAACCGUGGAGGGUCAUUGGAAACUGGAAAACUUGAGUGCAGAAGAGGAAAGUGGAAUUCCAUGUGUAGCGGUGAAAUGCGCAGAGAUAUGGAGGAACACCAGUGGCGAAGGCGACUUUCUGGUCUGUAACUGACGCUGAUGUGCGAAAGCGUGGGGAUCAAACAGG